Molecule: long non-coding RNA, 527 nt
Filed under: Danio rerio (zebrafish)
Lineage: Eukaryota; Metazoa; Chordata; Actinopteri; Cypriniformes; Danionidae
Description: lncRNA si:ch211-165f21.1 (ENSDARG00000094276.3)
Source: RNAcentral
CUACAGCGCCAUCCUGUGCUCAUGAAAUGCUUUUGACUUCAUGAUUAUGACUUGUCAACAAAUGAGCAGUUUCAGCUUUCAGAAGAAAAUAUUGUGUCCAAUCGCCCUCCCUGCUCUCCAGUAACUCAGUGAUCUUUAACAUGAGAAUGGAGGACGAAAAGAAAAGGGAAGCUUCAGCUGGUGAUGAUGAUGAUGAUGAUACUGAGCAACAUCACCAUCUGCUGGCCUGGACAAUACAGCUGCGCCAUACACACAACAUGUCAACAAUGCAAAAUAUUGCUUCAUUUCUGUACAUCAUUGCUGUGCAAACAUAUAUUUAAUUUUAUACUGAGACAGAUGCAGCUCUGAGUUAUUUAAAAGGCAUAAUAAAGUUAUUUAAUCACAUUUAAAGGUCUGGAUCAGGGCACGUGUGUUCUCACUCAAGACCAUUGGAUAAAUAAUUUCUGUGCUCACAAUAACUUAUUUGAGCUUUUGGCUAUUUUAAGAUAUUGUAUUACAGUGCUUGAUUCAUUAUUUAAACUGUAAAA